RNAcentral lists this long non-coding RNA (334 nucleotides) under Mus pahari (shrew mouse). RNAcentral describes it as "lncRNA (MGP_PahariEiJ_G0003605.1)". The record is from RNAcentral. Lineage: Eukaryota; Metazoa; Chordata; Mammalia; Rodentia; Muridae.
AACAGCGGCCAGAGGCAUGCUGGGAAGCAGGUGACACAAAGAAGGCUCUUGAGGCCCUAGACUCAUAUACCUUCCCUCCUCCUUGGUCCCAAUACCUAGAUCCCUCCUCAAAGCCACCUCCUCCCCCGGUCUCUUGGGUCUCCAGGCCAAGGUUCUGCUCACACUCACACACUGCAGAAGCCCAAGGACUCCACCGAGUUAGACUCACUCUCCUCCCCCUCUCCCAGGCUGGGCUGGGAGGCGACUGUCUCAGGCCUGAACACACCCACCACCUACAGCUCUCUUCCCUAAGGACCAAGGCACGGGUAACCAGAGGACAGAGGACACUCAGACA